AUUGAACGCUGGCGGCAGGCCUAACACAUGCAAGUCGAGCGGAUGAAGGGAGCUUGCUCCUGGAUUCAGCGGCGGACGGGUGAGUAAUGCCUAGGAAUCUGCCUGGUAGUGGGGGAUAACGUCCGGAAACGGGCGCUAAUACCGCAUACAUCCUGAGGGAGAAAGUGGGGGAUCUUCGGACCUCACGCUAUCAGAUGAGCCUAGGUCGGAUUAGCUAGUUGGUGGGGUAAAGGCCUACCAAGGCGACGAUCCGUAACUGGUCUGAGAGGAUGAUCAGUCACACUGGAACUGAGACACGGUCCAGACUCCUACGGGAGGCAGCAGUGGGGAAUAUUGGACAAUGGGCGAAAGCCUGAUCCAGCCAUGCCGCGUGUGUGAAGAAGGUCUUCGGAUUGUAAAGCACUUUAAGUUGGGAGGAAGGGCAGUAAGUUAAUACCUUGCUGUUUUGACGUUACCAACAGAAUAAGCACCGGCCAACUUCGUG
Molecule: ribosomal RNA, 484 nt
Filed under: uncultured bacterium
Lineage: Bacteria
Description: partial 16S ribosomal RNA
Rfam family: Bacterial small subunit ribosomal RNA
Source: RNAcentral